Molecule: small nuclear RNA, 43 nt
Filed under: Carlito syrichta (Philippine tarsier)
Lineage: Eukaryota; Metazoa; Chordata; Mammalia; Primates; Tarsiidae
Description: U7 small nuclear RNA (ENSTSYG00000034293.1)
Rfam family: U7 small nuclear RNA
About the family: Animal histone pre-mRNAs are spliced by a different mechanism than nuclear pre-mRNAs and self-splicing introns.
Source: Rfam by way of RNAcentral
AAGUAUUACAGCUCUUUUAGAAUUUGUCUAGCAGACUUUCCAU